This 409-nucleotide long non-coding RNA is filed under the name Androctonus crassicauda. The record is from RNAcentral. Lineage: Eukaryota; Metazoa; Arthropoda; Arachnida; Scorpiones; Buthidae.
UGGUCCUGGUUUGUAAUAAGUUUAAACAUUAAGUAAAGAGUUAUAUUUUUAUAAUUUAUUUUAAUCUAAUACAGCAGCGACUUGUGGAGCACAAACGAGACAUUAGGACUGGAAAAAUGACAACAGCGCUCGCAGAACGGGCAUAUGCGGAUGACGUAACAAUAGAUUGGGAUAGAGCUCAAAUAGUCAAACCGAUUUACAGCUCCAACACAGCCAUUACGCAAGAGACACUGGAGAUAUUGACUAGAAGAAAAAAGCAGAACAUCAUAAAUGACAGACCCAUGACUGAUUUACCGGAAGCUUGGACUUUUUUAUUGAAGAAGAAUGGGAAAAUAAAAUUGACCACAAGGCACAAGCCUUGAAAACACGGAACUUUAUUUUAUCAUGUUUUAUUAAUGUAUUCGAUGAG